AAAGAAUAAAAAUAAUGAAUACAUUUUAUCCGGAAGAUAACUAAGCCCUGGCCCAGGAACUGAAGUGAAAGGAAGGGAGCACUGCAUGAGACGUGCACAAGGAGGAAUGAAAACAAAUGGGCACUCAGAGCCAUCAGCAAAAUAUUUCAGAACCUGAAGCACGAAUGAAACUGUAUGCCAGAGGAAGAAAGAACGACAUCAAAACCAAAGACCAAUAA
RNAcentral lists this long non-coding RNA (218 nucleotides) under Chinchilla lanigera (long-tailed chinchilla). RNAcentral describes it as "lncRNA (ENSCLAG00000028796.1)". Lineage: Eukaryota; Metazoa; Chordata; Mammalia; Rodentia; Chinchillidae. The record is from RNAcentral.